UCGGGAAUUUUGGGCAAUGGGCGAAAGCCUGACCCAGCAACGCCGCGUGAAGGAUGAAGUAUUUCGGUAUGUAAACUUCGAAAGAAUAGGAAGAAUAAAUGACGGUACUAUUUAUAAGGUCCGGCUAACUACGUGCCAGCAGCCGCGGUAAUACGAAGGGAGCUAGCGUUGUUCGGAAUCACUGGGCGUAAAGCGCACGUAGGCGGAUUGUUUAGUCAGGGGUGAAAUCCCGGAGCUCAACUUCGGAACUGCCUUUGAUACUGGCAAUCUCGAGUCCGAUAGAGGUGGGUGGAAUUCCUAGUGUAGAGGUGAAAUUCGUAGAUAUUAGGAAGAACACCGGUGGCGAAGGCGGCCCACUGGAUCGGUACUGACGCUGAGGUGCGAAAGCGUGGGGAGCAAACAGGAUUAGAUACCCGGGUAGUCCCUGAGCGGGCUGGCAAGGCGCAU
Molecule: ribosomal RNA, 447 nt
Filed under: uncultured bacterium
Lineage: Bacteria
Description: bacterial SSU rRNA
Rfam family: Bacterial small subunit ribosomal RNA
Source: RNAcentral